Molecule: non-coding RNA, 1542 nt
Organism: Malus domestica (apple)
Lineage: Eukaryota; Viridiplantae; Streptophyta; Magnoliopsida; Rosales; Rosaceae
Source: RefSeq, a predicted model, not a curated record
GGUGCUCGAGGGCUCUUCCAUUUUCUUCCGUCGCUUUUCCCUUUCUCUUCCUCUCUGUUUCUGUGUUUUUCUCCCUGCGUCAAUCUUUCGUGUUUCCCUGCUUCUCUCCGCCUCCUCCUCCGCCCAAGAACCGCUGAUCAAUCUGGUUUCUUUGGCUUCUUCCGAUGGCGGCUAAGAUUUCGUCAUCGAGGAGAUGAAUGAUGGAGGUCAAUCGGAUCUUGAAUAUGAUUUCUACCGCGAGACUUUGCCCUUCAUCAUACGUGUUUUUCUGAUUUCCAUCUCUCUUCUCUCUCUCGCACUCCCUUUUUUCCUUCUCCAGCUUUUGCAUAUUUCCGGUCUCCGUUAUCAACGUCCGUUUGCUAAAUUUUCUCAAUCCUGUGAAUCUAUUCGCAUGUUUGUCUUUUUUUUCAUCUGCGAUUUCCUGGUUGUGGGCGGAAUUUUGGCCGAUUUCCACCCUUUUGGGUGCAUCCUGUCUUCAGAUCACUGCGGAAUCGAUCUUUUUUAGCUAAGGUGUGUUUUAUAAUGAUUGUAUUUCAGUUUUAUUUUGAAUUUUUGCUAAUUUGGAUGAAACCCUAACGAUUCGUUUUGUUGUGAGUUGUGGUGCUUUGUUAGGGCUUUCCCAGCUAAAAGAGUAUAAAUUUCCCAGAAACUUGAUGAACUCAGAGAAAGCAGUUGCAGCAGCCGUGACUUCUAUUUUUUUUCUCUCUUGAAAAUGGUUUACAGUUUUGUAGAUUUCGUUUUGCUGUCAGUUGUGGUGCUUUGUUGGGGCUUUCCCGGCUAAAAGAAUACUUUGCGUUUUGGUUGCUCAAUUAAUAAAUCUGAGAUUUGCUAGCACCUGUGAUGCUGCUGUUAUAUUUUGGGUUUCAUUUUUGCACAGUAAAGGACAUAUGCAACACCUUCCACGAUUUUAGAACACUUGAAGUCCGUCCCGAGAUUUUAUUCUCGAGGUUGUGAAACGACGAAACUGCCCUGGCGGUUACUAAGGGAAUUAAAGAGUGGAAUUGUUUUGAGGGACCACACACACACGGGGGACACCCUGUCCCUUUCCCCGUGCCCUCUAUCUCUCUCCCCUUCUCAGUUCUUCCUCUCUCCCUCUCGACUCGUACGGACGAGGCACCAAAACCUUCCAACCUUCAUGGAUUGACGUCAAAAAGGGAAUUCUAAGCUUAUAGUGAGCUUAGUGAGGUCCUAAGGAAGCUCGAAGUGCUUAGUUUGAAGGUUUUGGACAUCGAGAUCAUUGAGUUCAAAGUUGGUCGGUUUUCUUGGAAUUUUUCCAAUGAGAUUUCGUUAUUUUUAGAGCCUUAAAGUAGUGUAACGGGAUUCUACAUGCUUAGGGCUUCAUUUUGAUAUAAAAUACGUGAAAAAUGGUUGAGAAAUGACGGAGAACAAGGAGAUUGAAAAAUCUCUAGUUUUCCGGCCACCGGAAAAACCAGUCCGACGAGCCCAAGGUAGGAGACGCGCGUGGGGGGGGGGGCCGCGUGACAAGCCCAAAUUUUUUUCUACAAAUAUGCUGACGUUCGUGACGUCGAAUAGGUCACUGUG